Sander lucioperca (pikeperch) is the source of this 491-nucleotide long non-coding RNA. RefSeq lists it as uncharacterized. Lineage: Eukaryota; Metazoa; Chordata; Actinopteri; Perciformes; Percidae. The record is from RefSeq and is a predicted model, not a curated record. The transcript is spliced from 2 exons.
CUUCCUCCUAAUAAAACAAAAAAAACUCAGUCACCAUGGAGGCACUUAUAUGACUGGCAAUGGUAAUUUUGAGGAAGAGAUGACACUGAACAUACUUGUUCCCUGUACGGUUUAUGUUACACUCCUGCCACACAGACUCCACCAUCUGGCUGGCCAACCUGCGAGGGAUUUUACCCCCGUGAAGAGUGUUGUUAGAGCUGUAGCCAUCCGCCGCAGAGGACAACUUGAGCCACCUCUGGGCAGGCUGAUAAUCUGUAAGGGAAGUCUUACCAGUCUGAGCCUCCUCCGGUGACGUUGGAGGAGUCAGAGUGACAGAGGACAUGGCAGGGUCCCUGUGAGCAGCCUGGCCCUGCUGAGCACCACACAGGCUUCCUGAGGUGUUGACCGAGCCCUGAGGGACCACAGGAGGGAGGUCCGACAGGGGGAGAAGCACCAGGCAGGAAGGGUAAACCAUCCUCACUCCCGCUGCAACCAAACAAACACCAUUUAUU